AUACUCCUACGGGAGGCAGCAGUAAGGAAUAUUGGUCAAUGGACGCAGGUCUGAACCAGCCAUGCCGCGUGAAGGAUGAAGGCCCUCUGGGUUGUAAACUUCUUUUAUCUGGGACGAAAAACGGACUUUCUAGUUCACUUGACGGUACCAGAGGAAUAAGCACCGGCUAACUCCGUGCCA
Molecule: ribosomal RNA, 180 nt
Filed under: uncultured bacterium
Lineage: Bacteria
Description: partial 16S ribosomal RNA
Rfam family: Bacterial small subunit ribosomal RNA
Source: RNAcentral